RNAcentral lists this long non-coding RNA (589 nucleotides) under Gallus gallus (chicken). The record is from RNAcentral. Lineage: Eukaryota; Metazoa; Chordata; Aves; Galliformes; Phasianidae.
GCUGCUGCAUAUAUGACCAAAGAUAUUCUAUAUUGGCUCCAAAAGGGUGGACGUGAAGAAAUGUGGAGAUGAUACCUAUUAGUAGUGCCUCUUUCUCUGAUUUUAGACCUGGACUUCGUUUCUCAGAAGUUUUUUCUCUGUCUUGGUUGACCAAUGCUACUGUCAGUACAUUGAUUUCAUUUGCCUGAGAUUCAUCAUGCCCAUUGAUUUCUGCUAAUUCCUUGGCGCUUUUUAACUGUUCCUGCAGGACUUUAAGCAUUGCUUGUGUAUGCGUUUGCUCUUCCUUGGCUUGCUCCAGCUCUGAUUUUUUGUUAUUUAAUUCUUCCUGGAUGCUCAGCAAUUGCUGCUGCAUGCCUUGCAUUGUCUGUUGUAGGAACUGCAGCUGCUGAUCCUUUGUAAGGCUUUCUUCUGUUCGAAAGAGCUGUCCUUUCUCUUGCUUCAGAAGCUCCACUUCAUUUCUAUAAGCAUCCAGUUGCCAUCGAAGACUAUCAUUCUCUUCCUUAAGCGCGUAUGCUUGGGCAGCUAGAGCUGAAUCAUCUACUCUCAGCUUUUUACUGGGAUUGUCACCACUGUCAUCAUCAGACAUUUC